This 519-nucleotide ribosomal RNA is filed under the name Metarhizium anisopliae. RNAcentral's name for it is "partial 18S ribosomal RNA". The stretch from base 160 to 313 matches the Rfam family "5.8S ribosomal RNA". Lineage: Eukaryota; Fungi; Ascomycota; Sordariomycetes; Hypocreales; Clavicipitaceae. The record is from RNAcentral.
CCAGAGGAGGGAUCAUUACCGAGUUAUCCAACUCCCAACCCCUGUGAAUUAUACCUUUAAUUGUUGCUUCGGCGGGACUUCGCGCCCGCCGGGGACCCAAACCUUCUGAAUUUUUUUAAUAAGUAUCUUCUGAGUGGUUUAAAAUUUAUAUUGAAUCAAAACUUUCAACAACGGAUCUCUUGGUUCUGGCAUCGAUGAAGAACGCAGCGAAAUGCGAUAAGUAAUGUGAAUUGCAGAAUUCAGUGAAUCAUCGAAUCUUUGAACGCACAUUGCGCCCGUCAGUAUUCUGGCGGGCAUGCCUGUUCGAGCGUCAUUACGCCCCUCAAGUCCCCUGUGGACUUGGUGUUGGGGAUCGGCGAGGCUGGUUUUCCAGCACAGCCGUCCCUUAAAUUGAUUGGCGGUCUCGCCGCGGCCCUCCUCUGCGCAGUAGUAAAACACUCGCAACAGGAGCCCGGCGCGGUCCACUGCCGUAAAACCCCCCAACUUAUAUAUUUAUAGUUGACCUCGAAUCAGGUAGGU